GAUGAACGCUGGCGGCGUGCUUAACACAUGCAAGUCGAACGGAAAGGCUCCUGCUUGCAGGGGUACUCGAGUGGGGAACGGGUGAGUAACACGUGGGUGAUCUGCCCUGCACUUCGGGAUAAGCCUUGGAAACUGGGGCUAAUACCGGAUAGGACGAUGGUUUGGAUGCCAUUGUGGAAAGUUUUUCGGUGUGGGAUGAGCUCGCGGCCUAUCAGCUUGUUGGUGGGGUAAUGGCCUACCAAGGCGUCGACGGGUAGCCGGCCUGAGAGGGUGUACGGCCACAUUGGGACUGAGAUACGGCCCAGACUCGUACGGGAGGCAGCAGUGGGGAAUAUUGCACAAUGGGCGCAAGCCUGAUGCAGCGACGCCGCGUGGGGGAUGACGGCCUUCGGGUUGUAAACUCCUUUCGCUAGGGACGAAGCGCAAGUGACGGUACCUGGAGAAGAAGCACCGGCUAACUACGUG
RNAcentral lists this ribosomal RNA (465 nucleotides) under uncultured bacterium. RNAcentral's name for it is "partial 16S ribosomal RNA". It matches the Rfam family "Bacterial small subunit ribosomal RNA", at positions 28 to 507 of the family's 1533-position model. The record is from RNAcentral.